CUGGUUUCGUCCCUUCGGGGACAUCCGAUAAAAUUGGAACGAUACAGAGAAGAUUAGCAUGGCCCCUGCGCAAGGAUGACACGCACAAAUCGAGAAAUGGUCCAAAUUUUUUUUUUCCACAUUUUUGUUCUGGGUUUUGUUGGAAUCUGAGGUCUGUUUCUUUCUUCAUCGUUUUCUUUAAUCUAUUGUCCCUCUUUGUCUCUGUGGAUUGUUAAAAAGCUUCUUGCUUUAACUAUAUUGGUUGGAGUAUUGUGAAAUUUUUAGGUUUCAGAGUGAAUCGUGAAUAAGCUAAUUGUUCAGUAUGCGAUUUCGGACUUAGAAAUUUAAGUUGAACGAGAAAAAAAAUGGGAUUUUUCCUUUCUAUCGUGUGCUCUUUCAUUUACAUAAUAGUUUUAUGUAGAAAAAGAGUGAUGAAAUAGAAUUGGAAUUACAGCACUCACAAUAUACAGAGAGACGGAAAAAUCAAGGUGACAGAGUGUAUUUAAGUUGGAGGAGGAUAAAGCGGUGUUUCCACACUCUCUGGAGUUCCAAACGAAUUGUCGGAAUCCCUAAGGUAAUACACUCUUACAUGACCACAUAUUCUUUGUGCUUAUAAACAAUGAAUAUAAUAUUGGUUAUUCUUCCAUAUGUUUAAUCCGCUCAGAUACGUUUGCAAUCGAGAUAAUUGUCCUUUCAAACAUAGCUGCAUCUCUUUUUGAGAGACGGUUGAGUCUCCUUGUUUUUUGUUUCAUUCUCAUGUCCCUGAGACAAGAGGGGUUGCUCUGAUGGUAAGCAACCUCCACUUCAAACCAAGAGGUUGUGAGUUCGAGUCCCCAAGAGCAAGGUGGGGAGUUCUUGGAGGGAAGGAUGCCGGGGGUCUAUUUGAAAACAGGCUCUUUACCCCUGGGUAGGGGUAAGGUCUGCAUACACACUAUCCUCCCCAGACCCACUAAGUGGGAUUAUACUGGGUUGUUGUUGUUGUUCUCAUGUCCCUGAACUUCUAACCUCUUGUUUCUAUAGUGAACCAUCGUUAACAUACCAUCAAGCCAUGUCUUAUUACACAAUGACAUCGGGCCCUUAUUGCGGCCCACCCUUGUGUUUGUGUUAUGUCACUAUGUGAAUGUGAAGCUGAAAUGCUAUCUAGUCAAAGAUAUGAGUUGUAGCUAAGAUACUCAAUGCAGAAAUAUUUUUUCUGCUCAGAUAUUGAUCUUUGAUGACUUGUUAUCUUCCAUAUGUGAUGCUAUAGUGGCCUUUUCAUCUUCUCAAUUCAUUAGCAUAAGUUGUCUCAUUAACUCAACAUAUAGCAGUGCAACAUAUUUUGCUACAUAGUUAAUCUAUGAGCUGGUCUCUUGGGGUUUAAUGAUGCAUCAAAACACUACAAUCACAAAAAGCUUCUUGCUUUAUCAUAUAAUUGUCGAUUAAGCUUUGGUGUGAAUUUCUCUUUUGGGGUGCAAUUGUGGACUUAGAUGUAUGGGUCAAUUUGCAAAGGUCUUUUUUUCUUUUAGAUGAUUUGUCAACAUAGAUGUCAAGAAAUUGGGUAAGACACUGUUGUGAGCAUAUUAUUUACUACUCUUAUUUAAACAGAAUAAAGUGUUUUAUAUGGUGUUGGAAAUUAAAGUAAAGGAGGACUUCUGUUUAUAAUUGUUCUUGCUUACAUAAAUUUAGGCUAAUUACUUAGAAAUGGGCAAGAGGAAGUCAUUAUAUAUACAGUGCAAUUUUAGUAUCUGCCAUGUCAAAUGGGGAGGGGUAAGGUUGCGUACAUCCUACCCUCCCCAGACCCUACUUGUGGAAUUAUACUGGGUUGUUGUUGUUGUUAUCAUGUCAAAUGGGGGAGGGGCUUAAAAUAUGCAAAAUGGGUAAAUAUAGAAUUCCUCUUGUAAUAUAUAAGCUGUUGAAUCUCUUCGACAUGAGGUAAAUUUAUAGUGUAGUGGUAAAGGGGUUGAAACAUUGUAGUAUUUUAUUGAAUCCCUUAUAUAAAUUUCUAGCUCCAUCACCGGGUAUGGAACGCUUAUGAGUAUGUGAUGUGGAUCCUAAGUCUGCUCUGUAUCAGAUACUAGUACUCAGUUUGAUGAAACUUAAGGCUCAGUUACAGAUGUUGGGAGAAUUUGUAAGCUCCUCUACGAAAGCAACAGUACUAGUAGCCGUUACACAUUAAAUUUCAUAUAUACAGAUCACGUCUUAAGUAUUUUGACGAUGAUAUGAGUUGAACUUAAUAAAGAAAGAAGUGAGGAUUCAUACAGCCAACCCAACUUGUUUGGGAUUGAGGCGUAAUUGUUGUUUUUGUACACUAAGUCUGCUGCAACCUCCAUUUAUCCGCUUCCGAUUCCAUGUCUAGGCCCCUUCUCUAGAGAUGACAUUGUGAUGUACCAACCUGGAAAACAAGGAUUUAUUUUCAAAAAAGUGAUCAUUUCUUGAGAAUAUCUAGGAUUGUUGAAACUGGAGGUUCUGUUCCAAUUUGCAAGACAAAAGUUGUAAACAAUAACAUAAACCCCAUAUGGAGUCCUGUCUGUCUAGUUAUGCAACAAUUUUUGGAUAAGGGAAAUUCAUUUGUACAGCGCGUCGACUUUAACAGCAGUGAAAAUUAUGUCCUCGUUGGGAAAAUACAAAAAGAAAAGAAAAGGGGACAUACCUGAGAAGCAACUGUAUAGUUUUCCCGACUAUAUUUCUAGUGGAUUUGAGCUUAGCUUUAUGUUUUCUUUGUCGUUUGUUUUAAGUUUUAUUAAAUUUCAGCUUAGCGCUUUGUUGGUAUAAACGUGAAAACUUCAUGCCAAAGAGAACUUGCUCCUACCAUUAAACUAGUUGCAAGAAGAGUUCUAUGAAUAUGCCCUGAGAACACAGUAGGGCAGCCCAGAGCACUCAGCUCCCGCUAUGUGCGGGGUCCUGGGAAGGGCCGAACCACAAGGGUCUGAUUGCAUCAUAUACAAGCUAUGUAAGAUUCUGAGCAUUCACUAAGAACACAAAGUAUCUAACCGACGUGAGAAAUUAUGCAGUGUUUCUUGAGCAGGGUAACCAAAAUGCUUUAAGAAUCGACUGAAUGGUCCUCUAUAAGAGCAAUUUACUAUAACAUCUAAGUUUUUUUUCUCUAUAACAACACUUACUAUAGUAGCCAAAGAAUGUCGCAACAAACGAGGUUGUUAUAGAGAGGUUGAGGCUGUUAUAGAGAGGUUUGACUGUAUUUAAUAUAUCCCUCUUUUCCGCUUUCAAAACUGGCUUUUUAUAAUCCAAGAUGAACAUGUCUGUUUGUAAUUAUACAUGUUUUUACAUUCAGACGCUAUAUCUGUUGGUUUGCUAGUUAUUCUCACAAAACAUUGCAACACAUUGCAACAGCCAUGUCAAUGAGCUGAUUUAAGGUGACUACUAUUUCGUUUGAUCAAGAUCUCUAUAUAUAACCCCCUUUCUCCAUCCACUUUUCUUUUAAUUUGAAUAUCUUUCUCUAGGUUAUCGAAUUUGCAAUGAAGGCAUUGUUAUUUACCAGUCUUGGUUGCAACCAGAAGUUCCAUGCAAACUGCUAAUGAUGCACCAUUUCAUUUGAUGUGAUUUCUUUAGUAUAAUUUAGCUGAUUCUGUUCAUUUUUUACAUUUAUAUAUAUGUAGCUUUGUCCAUUUAGUGAUUGCAUGAAUGCUAUAUCUUGAUUUUCUUUUAAUGCACUGAAACUAUAAAUGGACGUACAGGCAAUGGGUCAAGGUAUACAGUAUGCGCACGUCAUGGGUUCGAACGCUGCCGCAAAGAAAAGCCUGGUAUCUAAGUGGGGAAGGGUAGGGACGCGAUCCACCAAGCUUUGAGUUGUGCAACACUGGCCCUUGGAGUUUUCUCAGUCAUCAAAAAAAGAAAAUGAAUCAAGGUAUAACUGCAUAUAUAUAAUGCUCAUUCUUGAAUAGAGUGAGAUUUGGCAUGCUACUAUUUGCAUGAAUAGUAACUUAAUUUACAAGCCUCUGAAAUUCUACAUGAUUAGUAACUUAGGCAGCAAAAAUUCUGAACCCAAAAUCUCCAGAUUUUGAUAAAUUCGUUUAGCUCUCACUUUACCUGUUGCUAUUCUCACAAUAUUUACCAACUGAAACAAAAAAAGGCAGCUCGGUGCACAAGAUAUCUGCAUUCACGUAGGGUUCGAGAAAGAGCCGCAUCUCAAAAGGUGUAUGUAGACAGCCUAUCCUAAUACAAGUAUUAAUGGCUUGCUUCCACGGAUUGAAUCCAUGACCUAUAGAUCUAACGAAAACAACUUUACGUUGCUCCAAAGCUCCCCUUCACUUACCAACUGAAACAAUUUCAGGAAAAUAUGAACAUGAACAAUAGUUAAUUCCCUGAAGAUCCGCUUAUUGGCUCAAGGAAAAGAAGAGAUGAAAAUAGAUAUGAGCGUUACACUAUGUUGAAUGCUGAUAUUAGUAAAUUUGAUUAUUAUACUAUUGAAUUUAUAUAUGUUAGAUGAGCGUUACACUAUUGUAUUUUCAAAAACAUUGAGAAGUGCAGAUGAGAAAAUUUGAAUGGUAGAUGGUACAUUUUUUUUCUUUACAUUUUGCUUUUAUUAAUUUAGAUCCUUAGGACUUGCCAACUCUACCUACCUGUUCAAUUGGUUGUUGAGCUUUAAAAAUCUAAACUAAUAAAGAACUAUAUCCCAG
This 4592-nucleotide long non-coding RNA is filed under the name Nicotiana tabacum (common tobacco). The record is from RNAcentral. Lineage: Eukaryota; Viridiplantae; Streptophyta; Magnoliopsida; Solanales; Solanaceae.